AACGAACGCUGGCGGCAUGCCUAACACAUGCAAGUCGAACGGGAUCCUAGCUUGCUAGGUGAGAGUGGCGGACGGGUGAGUAACACGUGGGAAUCUGCCUUUUGGUUCGGGAUAACCGCGGGAAACUGCGGCUAAUACCGAAUGCCCUCGAGAGAGGAAGGAUUUAUCGCCAGAAGAGGAGCCCGCGUCCGAUUAGGUAGUUGGUGGGGUAAAGGCCUACCAAGCCGACGAUCGGUAGCUGGUCUGAGAGGAUGAUCAGCCACACUGGGACUGAGAUACGGCCCAGACUCCUACGGGAGGCAGCAGUGGGGAAUAUUGGACAAUGGGGGCAACCCUGAUCCAGCAAUGCCGCGUGAGUGAUGAAGGCCUUAGGGUUGUAAAGCUCUUUUGCCAGGGAAGAUGAUGACUGUACCUGGAGAAUAAGCCCCGGCUAACUUCGUGCCAGCAGCCGCGGUAAU
This 458-nucleotide ribosomal RNA is filed under the name uncultured bacterium. Its description in RNAcentral is "bacterial SSU rRNA". It matches the Rfam family "Bacterial small subunit ribosomal RNA", at positions 29 to 524 of the family's 1533-position model. The record is from RNAcentral.